This 5097-nucleotide long non-coding RNA is filed under the name Homo sapiens (human). Its description in RNAcentral is "HSALNT0105561". The record is from RNAcentral. Lineage: Eukaryota; Metazoa; Chordata; Mammalia; Primates; Hominidae.
UCAGAGGGCUGUUGGAGGAGUAGAUGAGGUGCUACAUGCAGGGCCCUGAGAACUGUCCUGUCGCUCAGGAAGCAAGUUUUGCAGGGUGUGGACAAUCGGGCAAGUGACUGCAUGUGACAACAGAGAGAGGGCAUGGUACACGGUGGCAGAUGAGCCCGGGACUGGAGGCAGAUCUGGGUUCCAGUUCGGGCUCUACCAGCAGCACCCAUGUGUCCUUCUGUUCUCUGGGCCUCAAUUUCCUGUUGUAAAAUUCAGAACUUGGAAGAGGUAAGUGGUUAGGUCAUUCCUGAGACAUCCCAGAUAAUCACAGCCAUCCAAACGUUGGCUCGGGAGCCCUGAGUAACCAAGACUGCAGGAAGCAACAGUUUAGUAAGGGUUCAGAAUCCUGUGAUUAGGGCUCGAGAAUGAAAUACUCUUCUAAGAGCUUCUCCCAGACCAAAAGGAGCUAAUUAGGAAAGAAUGGUGGCAUUCUCUGGGCAAACUGGAGGAGCCCCUGGGCUUGGCCUCCUUAUGCCUUCCUCCUUGACCCUCCUCUAGCCCCCUUGGACACAACACAACGUCCCCCCUCUGCUUUUUCCCCAGAUACUAUGGUAAACCUGCUCUCAGAUCUUUCUCCACACCUAGAAAAAUUCAUUCAUCGACUAUACACUUUAAUGAAUAUGCACUUACUAUGUACCAGAUAUUCUUUGGCUGCUAGGGCAGAGCAGCAGGGACAUAGCCCCUGUCCCCGUGGGGUCAACAUGCUGGUGGAGGGAGUCAGAGGUAAUAAAAUAAGCAAGUAAGACACACAGUAGAGCAGGCAGAGUUGGCGGAGAACUGGAUCUAACUGGGUUGGGGUUUUGCCAAGCAAGUACAGUCCAACUUGGAGUGUGGAGGGAAGGGUAUAGAAAAGGUAGGGACUAGAAUAACUAACCCUGGAAUUUAGGCUGGGAAAGGAGGGAGUAGGGAUUUGAAAGCGGGUGAGGUCAGUAGUCUGUGGGGCCCUGAGGGGCGAUGGCUCCAAGGCACGAGCCGGAAAGAGGUUUGACAGUGGCUUCUCUGGAGGGCUCAAGCUUGACCAGGAAACUGAGUGCCGAGCCCUGGAAGAUCACUGGGGAGAGGAGGUCAAAGAACUGGGAGGCCAGGGCACCAUCGGCGGGCUGAACUACAGAAAGGGACAGAGCUGUUUAUGUCAUGAAAAGCAGGCCUGAGCAUUAGAAGACUGAGAAACACCUGGGAGGAUCUUGUUUCAACAGAGCUCAAAGCCGUGGCAAAAGGACGGAGCUCGAAUUGUGCAAUUAAACCCAGGCCCCCAGCAAAUGGAAAAUGCCAUCCACUGGCACAGAGACUUCAGUUGGGAGCCGAGGACUGAACUCAGACCACCAUUCUUUGUUCAACAUUUCUUCCUGAGGGGCCUGGAGGAAGUCACACCCACAGGCCAGAGCUCAACAUUCCUUUCUGCUGACCCCAGGCACCAGUCCAUGGCACUCCCUAUGCCUGCAGGAUACCACAUCAAAGCAGAGUUGGGGGAGCAUUUCAGGAGGUUCCUGUGAAAAACCUACAUGCACACACCCCCACGUGCAGCUGCAGACUGCUAUCUAUACACGAAGUUAUGCAUCGCAGAGUCGACUGCAAAAGGCUGGAGCCCACACAGCGUCUAUCAAUAGGGAACGGGUUAAAUCGACCACAAGAUUUCCAUAUGACGAUGGAACACUUUCCAGCCAAGAAAGGAGGAGGAAGUCCUCACUGCUCUGAUACGGAACAGUCACCAAGACAUAUUUUAAGUAAAAAAAAGGCAGCAUGCAUAACCAGGGAAAUGAAAACUAAAACCACAGUGAGUUACAAUUUCACACAGAUCCAUCUACAAAAAAAAAAAAGCUGAUAAUUGCAGGUGUUGGUGAAGAAGUGGAGUGAGGGGAAUGCUCAAACUACUAGUGGGUGUGCGAAUGGUUAUAACCACUUUUUAAAAUUUUGGCAUUAUCUACUGAAGUUGACAAUGUACUUUCCCAAUGGCCUUGCAAAUGCCCUGGAGAAGUUCUUACCCAACCCCCGCCAUUCCCCCCAACACACACCAAAAGAAACAAUUAAGAACAUUUGCACCAGCUCUGUUCCUAGAACCCCAAAACUGAGGCCAGCACUGAGGCCAAGCACAGUGGCUCAUGCCUGUAAUCCCAGCAGGCAUGAGCCACCCUUUGGGAGCCUGAGGCCGGAGGAUUAUUGAGGUUGAGAGUUCAAGACCAGCCUGGGCAACAUAGUGAGACCUUGUCUCUAUAAAAGAAGUUUUAAAAAUUAGCCAGGUGUGAUGGCUCAUGCUUGUAGUCCCAGCUAAUUGGGAGGCUGAGGUAGGAGGAUCGUUUCUUGAGCCCUGGAGGUUGAGGCUGCAGUGAGCCAUGAUUGCACCACUGCACUCCAGCCUGGGCAACAGAAUGAGACCCUGUCUCAAAAAAUAAAAUUAAAUUAGAAAACAAUAAUAAUUAUUAUUAAUAAAUAAAAUAGUCCAAUGAAAAUAAUCAUACUAUCUCCAUGCAAUGGAAUUCUAUACAAGAGUGAAAAUGAACUAACUCCGGACAUGCGUAUCAGUACACUGAACUUCAGAACUAUAAUUAUGGGUGGGACAAAAGCCAGCCAUAGAAAACUAUUCUAUUCAUAAUCCCAAAAAGGUAGUAUACCAUAUUCAAUUAUUAUAUAUAUUUAUGUCUUGUUAUAUAUAAUGUUUAUUACAUUUAUCUUAGUAUAAAAAUAUAGUAUAUUUAUCAUAAUCUAUUAUAAACAAGUAGUAGGAUUAUAAAAAGACAAAAAGGGCAGGAUAAGCGUAAAAUUCAUGAUAGUAUUUAGGGGAAGAGGAGGGUGGGGCUGGAGAGAGGCACAUGGUUUCAAAAGCCCAGCUUCUUUGUCUAAAACAGGGCGUGGGUACCCAUACUGGUCUAUUGUAUUGUGGGUGUCUUUAAAAUGUAUAUAUAUUCUAUAACUACUAUUUUUGUAUCUACUCAAUAUUUAAUUUUAAAAUUUUAAAUGAGGCCUAGAACACUAUAAAAAGUAUGCUACCAUUUGUAUAGAAAAAGUGGACACACACAUCACUCAUGUGCAUAGAUUAAAGUGUCUCUGGAAACUUACACAUGCAACUGGUGAAACUGGUUUCCUCUGGGGAGGAGAACUGGGAGGCUGGGGACAAGGAGGGGCAAUAAAUCAAUUGAAAUUAAAAAUCACAAAAUUUAAGGAGAAGGAGACAAAGAAGGGAAGGAGGAAGAGAAGGGAGGGUGGAGGGGAGAGGCCAAGUCCUGGUCCCAGGAGGGACAGGGAGCAGAAAGAGGAGGACUGGCCAGGCUCUGGCUAUCAAAACCUGUGUGUGCCACAGGCACGAGUGGAGCCAGAAGCCUGCAGUCCUGCCCAGGAAAGCCUGUGUCCUCCGCGCACAACUCAGGCUUAGACCCAGAGAAUGCUCUUUCUUGCACCUGAGGACGGGGCUGGCUUCAAACAGUUGCCCAGGUUGACCCUGGCUCUGCAGUCUUUUGUUUCCAGAGCUUUGCUUCCAAACGAGGCUCCCUUGGGUCUCUUUCCCUGGCCCUGCCUUCUUAUCUCCAACCUUCACCCCACCUGUGAUCCAAGCGAUUCCUUUGAAGUUGCUUCAGAGUCUUCUGAGCCUUCAUCCUUGAUGACUCUGAAAUGUGCGUCUGUGGCACCAAGGUCAGCCAACAGCAAGUAGGCCCUUUUCAUCUCCUUUUAAACCUUCCCCUCAAGGACUCAGUGUCCUUGCUGUAUUGCCUUAUCAAAACCUGCUCACAUAUCCUUUGUUCACACUGGGAUACCGGUCAUUUAAAGGAAAACAGGCCCACUCUAACCAGGGUCACUGCCAAGUCCCUAAGUAUCAUGCCCUUGAGAGGUAAAAGCAUAAAGCACUAAGGGUAGAAUUUUGGGCAACAGCCAGUGGACAAGGACAAAAUGGGUGCAAUAUGCAGGGGUCCCUUCUGCCCCACCGGUAACCAUAACACCUCAGGACACAGGCUGGGGUCUGUAUUCAAAAGUGGGUCCCUCAGACCGGGCACAGUGGCUCACGCCUAUAAUCCCAGCACUUUGGGAAGCCAAGGCCAGCGGAUCCCUUGAGCCCAGGAGUUUGUGACCAGCCUGAGCAACAUGGCGAAACCCCAUCUCUACAAAAAAUACCAAAAUUAGUCUAGUCGGGCAUGGUGGUGCACACACCUAUGGUCCCAGCUAUUUGGGAGGCUGAGGGGGGAGAAUCGCUUGAGCCCCAGGAGGCAGAGAUUGCAGUGAGCUGUGAUCGAGCCACUGCACUCCAGCCUGGGCAACAGAGUGAGACCCUAUCUCAAGAAAACAAAAACAGAAAGUAAAAAAGCAAUCCUCGAGCAAAAGUGGGUCCCUCAGAGCCCAAUGACAGUGAUGAGGAGGAUGAGGUGGGAAAGGUAGUGUUACUCUGAACUAAAAAGGACUGCCCAGUGUGACCCUAUCUCCCAAACAGCCCAUGCAGGGAUCUGGGUGGCACCAUAGUACAGAAGUGGGUGCCAAGAGAGGCCUGGGCUGCACAGCCAGGUGCAUACAUGCCCUGGAGUCCAGGACAGGAUCAGCAGCAAAUCCACUCCAGGGAGCUCUCCCCCCUCACCAUCCUCUCAAUCAGGGUUCCCCAGUUGAAAAGCACCUUGGCAGUUCAUAAUUCUCCCUCUAAAGCCAGAAAGUGCUGUAAAGGAUAACAGAAGCCUGGCUGCACAGUGGAGCUUAAUGGAAGUCAUUCAACAAGCAGGUCUGGAGCAAACAUCAUGGACCAGCAGUACUGUGUGUUGGCACAGAUGUGAAGCAACUAUACUCUGAUACGGCUUGGAUAUGUGUCCCCACCCAAAUCUCAUAUUGAAUUUUAAUUCCCAGUGUUAGAGGAGGGGCCGGGUGGGAGGUGACUGGAUCAUGGGGGCAGAUUUCCCCCUUACUGUUCUCACGAUAGUGAGUUCUCAGAUCUGGUUAUUUUAAAGUGUGUAGCACCUCCCACUUUGCUCCCUUCCUCCUGCUUUGGCCAUGUAAGAUGUGCCUGCUUCGCCUUCCCCUUCCGCCAUGAUUCUAUGUUUCCUGAGGCCUCCCCAGCCAUGCUUCCUAUACAGUCUGCAGAACCGUGAG